RNAcentral lists this ribosomal RNA (491 nucleotides) under uncultured bacterium. RNAcentral describes it as "partial 16S ribosomal RNA". It matches the Rfam family "Bacterial small subunit ribosomal RNA", at positions 29 to 506 of the family's 1533-position model. The record is from RNAcentral.
AGUGAACGCUGGCGGUAGGCCUAACACAUGCAAGUCGAACGGCAGCACAGUAAGAGCUUGCUCUUACGGGUGGCGAGUGGCGGACGGGUGAGGAAUACAUCGGAAUCUACUUUUUCGUGGGGGAUAACGUAGGGAAACUUACGCUAAUACCGCAUACGACCUACGGGUGAAAGCAGGGGAUCUUCGGACCUUGCGCGAUUGAAUGAGCCGAUGUCGGAUUAGCUAGUUGGCGGGGUAAAGGCCCACCAAGGCGACGAUCCGUAGCUGGUCUGAGAGGAUGAUCAGCCACACUGGAACUGAGACACGGGCCAGACGCCUACGGGAGGCAGCAGUGGGGAAUAUUGGAAAAUGGGCGCAAGCCUGAUCCAGCCAUACCGCGUGGGUGAAGAAGGCCUUCGGGUUGUAAAGCCCUUUUGUUGGGAAAGAAAAGCAGCAGGUUAAUACCCCGCUGUUCUGACGGUACCCAAAGAAUAAACACCGGCUAACUUCGU